AGCCCUUCGGGGCAGAAACCGGCGCACGGGUGCGUAACGCGUAUGCAACCUACCUUUUACAGGGGGAUAGCCCGAAGAAAUUUGGAUUAAUAUCCCAUAAUAUUAUUGGAUGGCAUCAUUUGAUAAUUAAAACUACGGUGGUAGAAGAUGGGCAUGCAUCCUAUUAGCUAGUUGGAGUGGUAACGGCACCCCAAGGCAACGAUAGGUAGGGGUCCUGAGAGGGAGAUCCCCCACACUGGUACUGAGACAGGGACCAGACUCCUACGGGAGGCAGCAGUGAGGAAUAUUGGUCAAUGGUCGGAAGACUGAACCAGCCAUGCCGCGUGCAGGAAGAAUGCCUUAUGGGUUGUAAACUGCUUUUAUAUAGGAAGAAUAAGAUGUACGUGUACAUUGAUGACGGUACUAUAUGAAUAAGCAUCGGCUAACUCCGUGCCAGCAGCCGCGGUAAUACGGAGGAUGCGAGCGUUAUUCGGAAUCAUUGGGUUUAAAGGGUCUGUAGGCGGGCUAUUAAGUCAGGGGUGAAAGGUUUCAGCUUAACUGAGAAAUUGCCUUUGAUACUGGUAGUCUUGAAUAUCUGUGAAGUUCUUGGAAUGUGUAGUGUAGCGGUGAAAUGCUUAGAUAUUACACAGAACACCGAUUGCGAAGGCAGGGGGCUAACAGACGAUUGACGCUGAGAGACGAAAGCGUGGGGAGCGAACAGGAUUAGAUACCCUGGUAGUCCACGCUGUAAACGAUGGAUACUAGCUGUUUGGUUGUUAAGACUGAGUGGCUAAGCGAAAGUGAUAAGUAUCCCACCUGGGGAGUACGCACGCAAGUGUGAAACUCAAAGGAAUUGACGGGGGCCCGCACAAGCGGUGGAGC
Molecule: ribosomal RNA, 861 nt
Filed under: uncultured Capnocytophaga sp.
Lineage: Bacteria; Pseudomonadati; Bacteroidota; Flavobacteriia; Flavobacteriales; Flavobacteriaceae
Description: bacterial SSU rRNA
Rfam family: Bacterial small subunit ribosomal RNA
Source: RNAcentral